This 696-nucleotide ribosomal RNA is filed under the name uncultured bacterium. RNAcentral's name for it is "bacterial SSU rRNA". It matches the Rfam family "Bacterial small subunit ribosomal RNA", at positions 32 to 715 of the family's 1533-position model. The record is from RNAcentral.
AACGCUAGCUACAGGCUUAACACAUGCAAGUCGCGGGGUAACAUCUGGUAGAGCUUGCUCUUCCAGGAUGACGACCGGCGCACGGGUGAGUAACGCGUAUCCAACCUGGCCCAUACCACGGGAUAGCCCGUCGAAAGGCGGAUUAAUACCGUAUGCUGUCAUUAAGAUGCAUAUAUUGAUGACGAAAGGACUGGCGGUAUGGGAUGGGGAUGCGUCUGAUUAGCUUGUUGGCGGGGUAACGGCCCACCAAGGCGACGAUCAGUAGGGGUUCUGAGAGGAAGGUCCCCCACAUUGGAACUGAGACACGGUCCAAACUCCUACGGGAGGCAGCAGUGAGGAAUAUUGGUCAAUGGGCGCAAGCCUGAACCAGCCAAGUAGCGUGAGGGAAGACUGCCCUACGGGUUGUAAACCUCUUUUGUUUGGGAAUAAAGUGCGGGACGCGUCCCGCAUUGCAUGUACCAUUUGAAUAAGGACCGGCUAAUUCCGUGCCAGCAGCCGCGGUAAUACGGAAGGUCCGGGCGUUAUCCGGAUUUAUUGGGUUUAAAGGGAGCGUAGGCCGGAGAUUAAGCGUGUUGUGAAAUGUAGAUGCUCAACAUCUGCACUGCAGCGCGAACUGGUUUCCUUGAGUACGCACAAAGUGGGCGGAAUUCGUGGUGUAGCGGUGAAAUGCUUAGAUAUCACGAAGAACUCCGAUUG